RNAcentral lists this long non-coding RNA (203 nucleotides) under Elaeis guineensis (African oil palm). Its description in RNAcentral is "long non-coding RNA (EGUI_LNC034350)". The record is from RNAcentral. Lineage: Eukaryota; Viridiplantae; Streptophyta; Magnoliopsida; Arecales; Arecaceae.
CCCUCCCCUCUUCUCUACAUCCUCCCUACUCUCCUUCCUCCCCUCUUCACGUCCAAAGAGUUGGACAUCCAUCUGGCAAAGAUCCAAGGCAUGGUGAUACCUGAAACAGAAGGCUGCAGGACAUCUCGAUAGGCUGUUACUCCAACUUCAGAAGGAGUUCUGAAGUACUUUCAAAUCAGAUAAAGAUCUGAUUUUUGAAGUGU